This 253-nucleotide ribosomal RNA is filed under the name uncultured bacterium. RNAcentral describes it as "partial 16S ribosomal RNA". It matches the Rfam family "Bacterial small subunit ribosomal RNA", at positions 524 to 776 of the family's 1533-position model. The record is from RNAcentral.
UACGUAGGGAGCAAGCGUUGUCCGGAAUCAUUGGGCGUAAAGCGCGCGUAGGUGGCCCGGUAAGUCCGCUCUGAAAGUCACAGGCUCAACCUGUGAAAGCGGGUGGAUACUGCCGGGCUAGAGUCCGGAAGAGGAGAGUGGAAUUCCUGGUGUAGCGGUGAAAUGCGCAGAUAUCAGGAAGAACACCCGUGGCGAAGGCAGCUCGCUGGGACGGUACUGACGCUGAGGCGCGAAAGCGUGGGGAGCGAACAGG